AAUAUUUCACAAUGGAGGGAACUCUGAUGCAGUAACGCCGCGAGAGUGAAGAAGGUUUUCGGAUCGUAUAACUCUGUCAUUGGGGAAGUAUAAAUGACGGUACCCAAGGAGGAAGCCCCGGCUAACUACGUGCCAGAAGCCGCGGUAAUACGUAGGGGGCGAGCGUUGUCCGGAAUUACUGGGCGUAAAGGGUACGUAGGCGGCUAUAUAAGUCAGGUGUGAAAUACCAGUGCUUAACACUGGAAUUGCAUUUGAAACUGUGUAGCUUGAGUGCAGGAGAGGAAAGUGGAAUUCCUAGUGUAGCGGUGAAAUGCGUAGAGAUUAGGAGGAACACCAGUGGCGAAGGCGACUUUCUGGACUGUAACUGACGCUCAUGCACGAAAGCGUGGGGAGCAAAC
Molecule: ribosomal RNA, 398 nt
Filed under: uncultured bacterium
Lineage: Bacteria
Description: partial 16S ribosomal RNA
Rfam family: Bacterial small subunit ribosomal RNA
Source: RNAcentral